Brachypodium distachyon (stiff brome) is the source of this 126-nucleotide non-coding RNA. NCBI's taxonomy places the organism in Eukaryota, Viridiplantae, Streptophyta, Magnoliopsida, Poales, Poaceae. The record is from Rfam.
GUUGUACUCCCUCCGUCCCAUAUUAAGUGACUCAAAUUUGUCUAAAUAUGGACGCAUCUAUAUACUAAAAUAUGUAUAGAUACAUGUAAUAUAAAGUCACUUAAUAUGGGGCGGAGGGAGUACUAC